Molecule: ribosomal RNA, 334 nt
Filed under: uncultured eukaryote
Lineage: Eukaryota
Description: partial 18S ribosomal RNA
Rfam family: Eukaryotic small subunit ribosomal RNA
Source: RNAcentral
CCCUUAGAUGUCCGGGGCCGCACGCGCGCUACACUGAAGGAAUCAGCGUGGCUUUCUCCCUGACCCGAAAGGGUUGGGAAACCCGUUGAAUCUCCUUCGUGAUAGGGAUUGGGGCUUGAAAUUGUUCCCCAUGAACGAGGAAUUCCCAGUAAGCGCGAGUCAUAAGCUCGCGUUGAUUACGUCCCUGCCCUUUGUACACACCGCCCGUCGCUACUACCGAUUGAACGGUUUAGUGAGGGCCUCGGAUCGGCCCUGUCGCGGCUGGCAACGGCCGCGUCGGCGCGUCGAGAAGACGAUCAAACUUGAUCAUUUAGAGGAAGUAAAAGUCGUAACA